This 419-nucleotide ribosomal RNA is filed under the name uncultured bacterium. Its description in RNAcentral is "bacterial SSU rRNA". It matches the Rfam family "Bacterial small subunit ribosomal RNA", at positions 335 to 741 of the family's 1533-position model. The record is from RNAcentral.
ACUCCUACGGGAGGCAGCAGUGGGGAAUAUUGCACAAUGGGGGAAACCCUGAUGCAGCCAUGCCGCGUGUGUGAAGAAGGCCUUCGGUUGUAAAGCACUUCAGUAGGGAGGAAGGUAGUGUAGUUAACACCUGCAUUAUUUGACGUUACCUACAGAAGAAGCACCGGCUAACUCCGUGCCAGCAGCCGCGGUAAUACGGAGGGGUGCGAGCGUUAAUCGGAAUUACUGGGCGUAAAAGCGCAUGCAGGCGGCCUGUUAAGUCAGAUGUGAAAAGCCCGGGGGCUUAACCUCGGAAAUUGCAUUUGAAACUGGCAGGCUAGAGUCUUGUAGAGGGGGUAGGAAUUUCAGGUGUAGCGGUGAAAUGCGUAGAGAUCUGAAGGAAUACCAGUGGCGAAGGCGGCCCCCUGGACCAAAGAACU